Long non-coding RNA from Brachypodium distachyon (stiff brome), 702 nucleotides. RefSeq lists it as uncharacterized. The record is from RefSeq and is a predicted model, not a curated record. The transcript has 2 exons. Lineage: Eukaryota; Viridiplantae; Streptophyta; Magnoliopsida; Poales; Poaceae.
GAGGAGCGAGGCCUGGGGGAGUGCGAGGAUGAAGACGCCGAGGAUCUGGAAAAUUGGCGUGACCAGCAAAAAAGGCUUAUUGCAAAACUCGGCCGUAUAUAUGUUGAUUGUGUCAUCUGCUUCACUGUCAUUGGGUAUGGGAUGCGUGCCCAGCCUGCGCGUGACAUGGUGAAACGCAUUUCCAGCGCUGUCAAGACCAUUUUGUAUGGGCAGUCGAAGAGAGGUGGUGGUGGUCAAGGACCGUCCGCUGAAUGAAACCUUGACAGAGCUACCCAAGGAGAUCUACCAGGGAUCACAAGUGUACCAGCUCCCAGACGGACGGUUCGUACACAUCCCUGCUGCUGCUACUCCGAUCCUGGGCGCAACAUCUCCAGCCAAGACCCCUCUCGGAGGAUGGACCCUCGCAGGACUCGGCUACGCUUCGUUGGUGGGGUUUGCUGAAGAGCUUGGUAGAAAAGCAGCAAAUUCCAAGCUGGAGAUAGACAGCGGAGAUACCCCGGACCCGAUGGAGGUUCCAUUUUGAGUAUCGUUUCUUCAGUAUAGUUUUUGGGAGGAUGACUUUAAGAUGAACUCUUUGGUAUGCUAAACUGUCUUUGCAACUCUUUGUACUAGCCGUGGACUCGCGCUUUGCCGCGUCGUUGUGGGACUUGCAUGAUCAAGUCAUUUAGUUAUACAAGUCAUGAUGCUAUUGCUCUCAGUAUA